AUCAUAUCGAGAUGUUUCGGGGUAGGAAAUUAAUUUUGCUAGAUCAAGCUUUGUUGUUAGCCCAAACACUCCCACUAACAUAAGAAUGGCCAUCUCAAGAGUAUUUAAUAUUCAAUCUGUGGUAGGAGUGGGAAGAUACCUGGGGCUUUAUCUUGAUUUUUCUCAAAAUAAAUCCCAAUUGUUUGCCGAACUCAAGUCACGAAUUUUUCGGCGCAUUUGGAAAUGGAGGUCAUCUAAUCUUUCAGUCAUGGGACGGAUUAUAUUAGCAGCAUGUGCUGAGUGCUCUAUCACAACAGACCCUUUCAAUGUUUCGUGUCCCGCGCACCAUAACCAAAACAAUUGACAAGUACAUUGCGCGAUUCAUUUGGAUUGGGGAUGUGGAAGGACGUGGGAUCCAUUGGAAAGCGUGGUCCACUCUAACUAUGUCCAUUUUUAGAGAGGGUCUGGGAACGCGAUCUACAGAAGAAUUGAACAGAGCCUUAGUCGCUAAAUCAGCUUGGUGAAUACUUUCUCAGCCAGAAACUAUGUUUAGCCGUUUCUUCUUAGCUAAGUAUUGCAGGAAAACAGAGUUUCUAAGUGUGCGCUGUGCAUCUAAUGCUACUUGGGGAUGGCGAAGCAUCUUGUGGGGAAGAGAUCUACUGAAGUUGGGACUCAAGUGGUGAGUAGUAAAUGGUGCAAAAAUAAAGUUAGAGGAUAACUAGAUUCCUGAAUGUCAAAAUCCUCUUUGCGGCAUUUACAAUCUACCUCAAUUGCUAAACAUGAGAGUUGCGGACUUGCUUGAUUCUACUGGGCACUGGAGGGAGUCAUUGAUUAAAAUGUUUUUUCCUACCAUGAUAGCCUGUAGAAUCCUUACAAUUUAUAUUCCGCACUAUGGAAGAGAUGAUCACAUCAUAUAGAGUUUGAAAGAAGCGGGGUUUAUUCUAUCAAGUUGGGAUACCAUUUGGCUGUAGCUGUUCGACAGAGUCAGAAUCCUUCAUCAUCUUCACCAUCCAACGGAUCAACAAUUCCACAUCAUGUUUGGAAACGGUUAUGGUGCCUAAAAAUUCCAUCGCGCAUCCAGUUCUUUGUCUGGCGACUUCUACAUAACGCUUGUCCCACCAAUUUAGCUUUGUUCAAAAGGAACUCCAGUUUGUCUUCGAUGCGGUACACAUGAAGAUUCGGCUACCUAUUUAUUUCUGCAAUGUCCAACAUCAGUCCGAAUCUAGAGAGCAUCACGGCUGGGAUUUAACUUUGAAAUAGGUGCACCAAUUCCUUUAUCCAUAUGGCUGCAGCAAUGGAUCACAGGAUCUCCUGAGGAUGAGGAUUUAAUAUUAUCGAUAUACAUCUUAUAGGACAUCUAGCUAGAGCGGAAUAAAUUUGUGUGGCAAGGAAAACAAACAAGCCCAGAACAUAUAUUGCUCGCAGUGCAGGCAAUGAACCAGAGGAAUUUGCCAUGGCCAGAAGAUAUUCAAGACCAACACUCUUCAAAUCUCAAUGCUCACAAGAAGCCAGUCAACAGAGGUAAUCUUAAGCUAUCUUUUGAAGAGCUAGAGACGGACCAUCAACAUUGUCAGCUCGCAAUCACCAUUGAUGGAUCCUUUCAAAUAAGUGAACAUAGGCAUAACGCAGCCAUAGCAUGGGUUAUUGAGGAUAACAUUGGCAAUUUGAUAUUUCAACACUAAAAAGUUCCGGCUCUCAUAGCUUUGCAGACUGAGGCUUUAGCAUGUUUAUGGGCUCUCAAGCACCUUUGCACCAUCUCUUGCCACUCAGCUCAAAUCAGAACUGAUUCUCUUCUACUAAUUCAUACCCUAGCUGAACCAGAGAGUUGUCCUCCACAUAUUCACUUUAUAAUAGAAGAUAUCAUAUAUGUGUAGCCAUGUAGGUUCAUUUUUGUACUCCAUGUUGUAAAGGUUAGGAGAUUUUCAGUAGUUAAAGCCCAUAAUUUGGCAUAUGCCACUAGAAUGCUGUAAGUGAAGUUUAGUAAUGAAUUUUAUUUCGUUUUUGUUUCUAAAAAAAAAUCAUGCUUAAGCUCAAGCCUAAAUCAAUUGAUCUCGAACUCUAAAUGUAAAACAACGAGCUCAAUUUUGAAUUAAAGUUCAAGCCUAAUCGGCUUGAGCUUGAAUCCAAUUGAGGUUACAUUACAAAAAACACAUAAUUAUAAGUACAUGGAACAUAGUGUAAUUUCAAAACCAAAAUUAAAUUUUAAUUAAACAUACAGGAUUGACCUAGUAUGACGAACAAGUCGAGUGUCUCUAUAUUCGGACUCAACUUGAUAGCUUCACUAAGUCCCACUCAAACUCUGCUUUAACUCAAUGUUUAUGGAACUCAAAUCCAGUUUGACCAAUUUGGUUGUGUGCGAAUCGUGAGCAGGCACAAUUUGAUUGCAAAGCUACCAUAUGUAUGGUGGACACGAAUAAAAGAUGAGAAAGCAAAAACCACUGCAAC
Molecule: long non-coding RNA, 2424 nt
Filed under: Coffea arabica (coffee)
Lineage: Eukaryota; Viridiplantae; Streptophyta; Magnoliopsida; Gentianales; Rubiaceae
Description: long non-coding RNA (CARA_LNC007156)
Source: RNAcentral